GCCGAGCUCAGUUACGAGAGCUUGUAACCCGAGUGGGGGCAUUAAGGUGAUGUGGACGCUGUUGUAGCGCUGCGGGCCUGGUCCGGGUGUGCUACUGCAGGCCCGCCCGUUCCAAGUUGCGUAGUGGACCGCUGGGGCCUAUGCGAAAGCUGGGCCUCACGGUCCAUAAUGUGGCAGGCACAGCGUGAGGCUGGCUUCACAGAGCAGCGACAACUGCCCGCUUCCAACGGUGGAAGGAUAACGGGCCGCUGCACUCCUUGGCCGCUUGGGCCUCGCAGCCUACUCCAGUGAACCAUCACUUUU
RNAcentral lists this signal recognition particle RNA (303 nucleotides) under Triticum aestivum (bread wheat). Its description in RNAcentral is "SRP RNA Plant_SRP". It matches the Rfam family "Plant signal recognition particle RNA". Lineage: Eukaryota; Viridiplantae; Streptophyta; Magnoliopsida; Poales; Poaceae. The record is from Rfam by way of RNAcentral.